Molecule: ribosomal RNA, 429 nt
Filed under: uncultured bacterium
Lineage: Bacteria
Description: bacterial SSU rRNA
Rfam family: Bacterial small subunit ribosomal RNA
Source: RNAcentral
AGAGUUUGAUCCUGGCUCAGAAUCAACGCUGGCGGCGUGCCUAACACAUGCAAGUCGAACGAGAAAGUGGAGCAAUCCAUGAGUAAAGUGGCGACCGGGUGAGUAACACGUGACUAACCUACCUUCGAGUGGGGGAUAACCUAGGGAAACCUGGGCUAAUACCGCAUAAUAUCUUUGGAGUGGAAAUUCUGGAGAUCAAAAGAGCAAUUUGCUUGAAGAGGGGGUCGCGGCUGAUUAGCUAGUUGGCGGGGUAAUGGCCCACCAAGGCUUUGAUCGGUAGCCGGCCUAAGAGGGCGCACGGCCACACUGGAACUGAAACACGGUCCAGACUCCUACGGGAGGCAGCAGUGGGGAAUUUUGCGCAAUGGGGGAAACCCUGACGCAGCAACGCCGCGUGGAGGAUGAAGUCCCUUGGGACGUAAACUCCUU